CCAAUAUGUAUUUAAUCACUGUUGCUGACGCCUAGUUACAAGGUAAAAACAAUAGCAAUUAAAACUAGUUUUCAACAGACUUUUCAUUAAAAUUGAUUGUUGUGAGAAAUCAAAAUACAAUCAAUCCAAUUUCGAACAACUCAACUUAAAGUAGUGGGAUGGACCACCUCAUCCGCUUCCUGAGCGCAAGGCAAGUGGCACAACCCAUUUAGGUAGCACCAUCCAAGAGAAACAAGACAUAACUUGAAGGGCAUCACAUUUUGCAUCAUCUUUUGUAAGAACAUAAUGACGAGCCAUGAUGAACCCCUCUCUUAGAGCAAGUGCCUCAGCAUCAUCCGGAGUAAAUCAAACCAACAUUCUCUUAGUCCGAGCCAUCAGCACCAUAGCCGUACGAUCUCUUAGCGCAGUACCGAUGCCAACAAGAAAACUUACACUAUUAAUAGGAUGAAUAAAAAAGUAAACAGUAAUUACUAAAUAACUUAGAUGUUGGUAAUCCAUUACUUGGGAUUUUGCCUAAAAAGCUUGGUCAAAACAUUUUAGCAGUAUUUAAUCAAGUUUUUUUUAAGAUUCUAUAAAAAUCUUGAGGUAUU
This 590-nucleotide long non-coding RNA is filed under the name Olea europaea subsp. europaea. The record is from RNAcentral. Lineage: Eukaryota; Viridiplantae; Streptophyta; Magnoliopsida; Lamiales; Oleaceae.